This 396-nucleotide ribosomal RNA is filed under the name Triticum aestivum (bread wheat). RNAcentral's name for it is "partial small subunit ribosomal RNA". Lineage: Eukaryota; Viridiplantae; Streptophyta; Magnoliopsida; Poales; Poaceae. The record is from RNAcentral.
AUGGCCACAGAAAGGGCGGUGCUUACACCUUUGAGAGUCAGAGCUGCGCGCUUGCGUUCUGGUUUCUAUGUCGAUGACGCAGCCUUGUUCAUCAAUCCCGUUGCCCAAGAUUUUGCUGCAGUGCAUGCCAUUCUUAAGGUUUUUGGGGAUGCCUCUGGGCUGUGGGCCAACAUCGCCAAGACCGUGGCUUAUCCUAUCUCCUGCUCUGGGAUCAACAUUGAGAGUAUGUGGAGUGUUUUUGGUGGGAUUUUGGGGUCAUUCCCGUGUCAAUACCUAGGGCUGCCAAUUGGGCUUCGGAAGCCGAGAAGAGCUGAAGUUCAGCCGGUCUUGGACAAAUUUGCAGGCAAGCUUGCUCCUAGGAAGGGGAGAUUACUAAAUAGGAUGGGAAGGCUUGUG